Molecule: long non-coding RNA, 264 nt
Organism: Zophobas morio
Lineage: Eukaryota; Metazoa; Arthropoda; Insecta; Coleoptera; Tenebrionidae
Exons: 3
Source: RefSeq, a predicted model, not a curated record
GGGCAAAAUAUAUAUAUAACUGCAAGAGGACAAAUUUGGCACUUCUUUUAAAAGACCUCGGAUUUUCUUAAGAGAAAGAUGACAACAGGAGGGCUUUAAUGAAAAAACCGCAUGUGGUUACUUUAAGAAAAUUAUUUUUAGAUGAGACGUGGGACUUUGCAAAUGGAACCAUGCAGAAGUCAUGACAAGAUGAAGACGUGCGAUCAGUAAAACGAAUUACUGGAGAUGGGGAUUGUUAUGUUGUUGUUCAUGCUGGUAAUGAGC